AGUAACACGUAAGCAACCUGCCUAUCAGAGGGGAACAACAGGUUAGAAAUGACUGCUAAUACCGCAUAUGCCUUAGUAUCGCAUGGUACAAAAAGGGAAAGGGAGCAAUCCGCUGAUAGAUGGGCUUGCGUCUGACUAGCUAGUUGGUGGGGUAAAGGCCUACCAAGGCGACGAUCAGUAGCCGGACUGAGAGGUUGAACGGCCACAUUGGGACUGAGAUACGGCCCAGACUCCUACGGAAGGCAGCAG
RNAcentral lists this ribosomal RNA (249 nucleotides) under uncultured bacterium. RNAcentral's name for it is "partial 16S ribosomal RNA". It matches the Rfam family "Bacterial small subunit ribosomal RNA", at positions 109 to 354 of the family's 1533-position model. The record is from RNAcentral.